Molecule: ribosomal RNA, 218 nt
Filed under: uncultured soil bacterium
Lineage: Bacteria
Description: partial 16S ribosomal RNA
Rfam family: Bacterial small subunit ribosomal RNA
Source: RNAcentral
AGAUUGAACGCUGGCGGCAUGCCUUACACAUGCAAGUCGAACGGCAGCACGGGGGCAACCCUGGUGGCGAGUGGCGAACGGGUGAGUAAUACAUCGGAACGUAUCCUGUAGCGGGGGAUAACCUCUCGAAAGAGAGGCUAAUACCGCAUACGACCUACGGGUGAAAGAGGGGGAUCGCAAGACCUCUCACUAUUGGAGCGGCCGAUGUCGGGUAUUAG